GUGAGGAAUAUUGCGCAAUGGAGGCAACUCUGACGCAGCCAUGCCGCGUGCAGGAAGAAGGCGCUACGCGUUGUAAACUGCUUUUAACCGGGAAGAAACCCCAGGACGUGUCCUGGGUUGACGGUACCGGAGGAAUAAGCACCGGCUAACUUCGUGCCAGCAGCCGCGGUAAUACGAAGGGUGCAAGCGUUAUCCGGAUUCAUUGGGUUUAAAGGGUGCGUAGGCGGAGCGUUAAGUCAGUGGUGAAAUCCUGCAGCUUAACUGUAGACUUGCCAUUGAUACUGGCGCUCUUGAGUGCGCUUGAAGUGGGCGGAAUGUGCCGUGUAGCGGUGAAAUGCUUAGAUAUGCUACGGAACACCGAUUGCGAAGGCAGCUUACUAUUUCAUGAUUGACGCUGAGGCACGAAAGCGUGGGUAGCGAACAGGAUUAGAAACCCUUGUAGUCC
RNAcentral lists this ribosomal RNA (445 nucleotides) under uncultured bacterium. RNAcentral describes it as "partial 16S ribosomal RNA". It matches the Rfam family "Bacterial small subunit ribosomal RNA", at positions 354 to 796 of the family's 1533-position model. The record is from RNAcentral.